This 137-nucleotide ribosomal RNA is filed under the name Microcebus murinus (gray mouse lemur). Lineage: Eukaryota; Metazoa; Chordata; Mammalia; Primates; Cheirogaleidae. The record is from RNAcentral.
GUCUACAGCCAUACCACCCUAAACACGCCCAAUAUCAUCUGAUUCGGAAGCUAAGCAGGGUCGGGCCUGGUUAGUACUUGGAUGGGAGUAAAACUUUCAAAUUAAAGUUUCACAGCAUGGCCUGAUAUUUCUACACC